This 234-nucleotide ribosomal RNA is filed under the name uncultured bacterium. RNAcentral's name for it is "partial 16S ribosomal RNA". It matches the Rfam family "Bacterial small subunit ribosomal RNA", at positions 1252 to 1500 of the family's 1533-position model. The record is from RNAcentral.
AAGCAGUGAUGUGAAGCAAAUCGCACCAAAGCCGGUCCCAGUUCGGAUAAGAGGCUGAAACUCGCCUCUUUGAAGUCGGAAUCGCUAGUAAUCGCAGAUCAGCAUGUUGCGGUGAAUACGUUCCCGGGUCUUGUACACACCGCCCCGUCAAACCAUGAGAGUCACCAACACCCGAAGUCCGCUUUGGCGGCCUAAGGUGGGGAGAUGAUUGGGGUUAAGUCGUAACAAGGUAAC